This 330-nucleotide ribosomal RNA is filed under the name uncultured eukaryote. RNAcentral describes it as "partial 18S ribosomal RNA". It matches the Rfam family "Eukaryotic small subunit ribosomal RNA", at positions 1470 to 1796 of the family's 1831-position model. The record is from RNAcentral.
CCCUUAGAUGUUCGGGGCCGCACGCGCGCUACACUGAAGGAAUCAGCACGUCUUUCUCCUUGUCCGAAAGGACUGGGUAACCCGCUGAACCUCCUUCGUGCUAGGGAUCGGGGCUUGUAAUUCUUCCCCAUGAACGAGGAAUUCCCAGUAAGCGCGAGUCAUAAGCUCGCGUUGAUUACGUCCCUGCCCUUUGUACACACCGCCCGUCGCUACUACCGAUUGGAUGGUUUAGUGAGAUCCUCGGAUUGGUCCCGGAGCGGCCUCUGGUCGUGCCGGAGUGCCGAAAAGAAUGUCGAACUUGAUCAUCUAGAGGAAGUAAAAGUCGUAACA